GAGGGGAAGUCUGGUGCCAGCAGCCGCGGUAAUUCCAGCUCCAAUAGCGUAUAUUAACGUUGUUGCAGUUAAAAAGCUCGUAGUUGAAGUGAGGGAGUGUGUGUUGUGAUCGAAUCGAUCGAGAGCAGUACAACCUCCCCCUUCCAAUGGGUGUAUUGGGGUAUUCAUUUACUUCAUUACUCCUUUGGUCGUUUACUGUGAGAAAAUUAGAGUGUUCAAAGCGGGCGUUUGUUUGAAUAGAUUAGCAUGGAAUAAUGAUUGAAGGCUUUCGUGUUCGAUUUGAUUGGUUUGUUCAUGGAAGCAAGGUUAAAAGGAACAGUUGGGGGUAUUCAUAUUCACUAGUUAGAGGUGAAAUUCUCGGAUUUAUGGAAGAUGAACAAGGCGAAAGCAA
RNAcentral lists this ribosomal RNA (391 nucleotides) under Blastocystis sp. subtype 2. Its description in RNAcentral is "SSU rRNA". It matches the Rfam family "Eukaryotic small subunit ribosomal RNA", at positions 551 to 954 of the family's 1831-position model. The record is from RNAcentral. Lineage: Eukaryota; Bigyra; Opalinata; Blastocystidae.